This 443-nucleotide ribosomal RNA is filed under the name uncultured bacterium. RNAcentral's name for it is "partial 16S ribosomal RNA". It matches the Rfam family "Bacterial small subunit ribosomal RNA", at positions 338 to 795 of the family's 1533-position model. The record is from RNAcentral.
CCUACGGGUGACAGCAGUGGGGAAUAUUGGGCAAUGGGCGCAAGCCUGACCCAGCAACGCCGCGUGAAGGAAGAAGGCCCUAGGGGUGUAAACUUCUUUUGUCAUGGACGAAACAAAUGACGGUACCUGACGAAUAAGCCACAGCUAACUACGUGCCAGCAGCAGCGGUAAUCCGUAGGUGGCAAGCGUUAUCCGGAUGGACUGGGUGUAACGGGCGUGUAGGAGGGAGAGCUAGUCAGAUGGUAAAGUCCAGGGCUCAACCCUGGAACUGCAUUUGAAACUGUUUUUCUUGAGUGAUGGAGAGGCAGGCGGAAUGCCGUGUGUAGCGGUGAAAUGCGUAGAUAUACGGAGGAACACCAGUGGCGAAGGCGGCCUGCUGGACAUUAACUGACGCUGAGGCGCGAAAGCGUGGGGAGCAAACAGGAUUAGAUACCCCGGUAGUC